AUCCUCUUCUUCUUCUUCUUCUUCUUCUUCUUCUCCUUCUUCUCCUUCUUCUUCUCCUCCUCCUCCUCCUCCUUCUUCUUCUUCUUUUUCUUCUUCUCCUUCUCCUCUUUCUUCUUCUCCUUAGCUUAUUUUCCCAAACAAAAUCAUACUUACCUAAUUAUCCUCCAAAAUGACAUAAUUAGCUAAUUUAGCUCCAAAAUGAC
RNAcentral lists this long non-coding RNA (203 nucleotides) under Hordeum vulgare. RNAcentral describes it as "long non-coding RNA (HVUL_LNC009317)". Lineage: Eukaryota; Viridiplantae; Streptophyta; Magnoliopsida; Poales; Poaceae. The record is from RNAcentral.